This 495-nucleotide ribosomal RNA is filed under the name Klebsiella sp. HSU1b-1. Its description in RNAcentral is "bacterial SSU rRNA". It matches the Rfam family "Bacterial small subunit ribosomal RNA", at positions 999 to 1492 of the family's 1533-position model. The record is from RNAcentral. Lineage: Bacteria; Pseudomonadati; Pseudomonadota; Gammaproteobacteria; Enterobacterales; Enterobacteriaceae.
AGCAGAGAUGCUUUGGUGCCUUCGGGAACUGUGAGACAGGUGCUGCAUGGCUGUCGUCAGCUCGUGUUGUGAAAUGUUGGGUUAAGUCCCGCAACGAGCGCAACCCUUAUCCUUUGUUGCCAGCGAUUCGGUCGGGAACUCAAAGGAGACUGCCAGUGAUAAACUGGAGGAAGGUGGGGAUGACGUCAAGUCAUCAUGGCCCUUACGAGUAGGGCUACACACUUGCUACAAUGGCAUAUACAAAGAGAAGCGACCUCGCGAGAGCAAGCGGACCUCAUAAAGUAUGUCGUAGUCCGGAUUGGAGUCUGCAACUCGACUCCAUGAAGUCGGAAUCGCUAGUAAUCGUGGAUCAGAAUGCCACGGUGAAUACGUUCCCGGGCCUUGUACACACCGCCCGUCACACCAUGGGAGUGGGUUGCAAAAGAAGUAGGUAGCUUAACUAGNGGGAGGGCGGGNUNCAGGAACNAGAAUACAAGAUCAGGGNCNAGGCGUANC